RNAcentral lists this ribosomal RNA (398 nucleotides) under uncultured Treponema sp. Its description in RNAcentral is "bacterial SSU rRNA". It matches the Rfam family "Bacterial small subunit ribosomal RNA", at positions 355 to 743 of the family's 1533-position model. The record is from RNAcentral. Lineage: Bacteria; Pseudomonadati; Spirochaetota; Spirochaetia; Treponematales; Treponemataceae.
UGGGGAAUCUUGCGCAAUGGAGGAAACUCUGACGGAGCGACGCCGCGUGGAUGAUGAAGGCCGGAAGGUUGUAAAAUCCUUUUAAGUAUGAGGAAUAAGCAGUGUGAGAGAAACGCAUUGUGGUGACUGUAGUACUUGAAUAAGCAACGGCUAAUUACGUGCCAGCAGCCGCGGUAACACGUAAGUUGCGAGCGUUGUUCGGAAUUAUUGGGCGUAAAGGGCAUGUAGGCGGUUUUGCAAGCUUGGUGUGAAAUGCCGGAGCUUAACUCCGGAACUGCGUUGAGAACUGCAUAACUAGAGUCACUGAGGGGCAAUCAGAAUUCCAGGUGUAGGGGGUGAAAUCUGUAGAUAUCUGGAAGAAUACCAAUGGCGAAGGCAGGUUACCAGCAGAUGACUAA